This 813-nucleotide ribosomal RNA is filed under the name uncultured dinoflagellate. RNAcentral's name for it is "partial 18S ribosomal RNA". It matches the Rfam family "Eukaryotic small subunit ribosomal RNA", at positions 610 to 1448 of the family's 1831-position model. Lineage: Eukaryota; Dinophyceae. The record is from RNAcentral.
AGUUGUUGCGGUUAAAAGCUCGUAGUUGGAUUUCUGCCGAGGACGACCGGUCCGCCCUCUGGGGGAGUAUGUGGGUCGGCCUGGGCAUCUUCUUGGAGAACGUAGCUGCACUUGACUGUGUGGUGCGGUAUCCAGGACUUUUACUUUGAGGAAAUUAGAGUGUUUCAAGCAGGCACACGCCUUGAAUACAUUAGCAUGGAAUAAUAAGAUAGGACCUCGGUUCUAUUUUGUUGGUUUCUAGAGCUGAAGUAAUGAUUAAUAGGGAUAGUUGGGGGCAUUCGUAUUUAACUGUCAGAGGUGAAAUUCUUGGAUUUGUUAAAGACGGACUACUGCRAAAGCAUUUGCCAAGGAUGUUUUCUUGAUCAGACGAAAGUUAGGGGACGAAGACGAUCAGAUACCGUCCUAGUCUUAACCUAAACCAUGCCGACUAGAGAUUGGAGGUCGUUAUCUAUACRACUCCUUCASCACCUUAUGAGAAAUCAAAGUCUUUGGGUUCCGGGGGGAGKAUGGUCGCAAGGCUGAAACUUAAAGGAAUUGACGGAAGGGCCCCCAGGAGUGGAGCCUGCGGCUUAUUUGACUCACACGGGGAAACUUACCAGGUCCAGACAUARUAAGGAUUGACAGAUUGAUAGUCUUUUUGAUCUUGGKGGGGKGCAUGCCUUCUAGUGGUGGAUGAUUUGUCUGUUAUUCCUWACAAAAACUAACCUGCUAAAGUCMCGAWCUUSUACGGGRACUAUUCUUAGAGGGACUUUGUGUGACUACMRRGAKUARMGCUUUGACGGCAAAUAACCCGUCUUGUUGGAUGCCCCAGCA